This 253-nucleotide ribosomal RNA is filed under the name uncultured Acidobacteriota bacterium. RNAcentral's name for it is "uncultured Acidobacteria bacterium partial 16S ribosomal RNA". It matches the Rfam family "Bacterial small subunit ribosomal RNA", at positions 524 to 776 of the family's 1533-position model. The record is from RNAcentral. Lineage: Bacteria; Pseudomonadati; Acidobacteriota.
UACAGAGGUGGCAAGCGUUGUUCGGAAUUACUGGGCGUAAAGGGCGAGUAGGCGGCCUCCUAAGUCAGACGUGAAAUCCCCCGGCUUAACCUGGGAACUGCGUCUGAUACUGGGAAGCUUGAGUAUGGGAGAGGGAGGUAGAAUUCCAGGUGUAGCGGUGAAAUGCGUAGAUAUCUGGAGGAAUACCGGUGGCGAAGGCGGCCUCCUGGACCAUAACUGACGCUGAUCCGCGAAAGCUAGGGGAGCAAACGGG